This is a long non-coding RNA of Olea europaea var. sylvestris, 1813 nucleotides long. RefSeq lists it as uncharacterized. The transcript is spliced from 7 exons. NCBI's taxonomy places the organism in Eukaryota, Viridiplantae, Streptophyta, Magnoliopsida, Lamiales, Oleaceae. The record is from RefSeq and is a predicted model, not a curated record.
UUUAUUUUUUAGCGGGUCAUGGCGCUACAAUAUUUACCGACUAAAUAAUUAACAGGACCCUUGUGCUUAAUUAUAUUACCUUUCUCUUCUGUUUCUAAGGAAUAACUCUUAGGUGCUACGAAGAUACCUUUCUUCACAAAGUGUUCCGCAAAGAUUGAAAGCAUGGCCUUUCUUUCUCUGAUUAAUUUCCUGUUCAAAGACCUAAGAACGGAUCGGAGAAGGUUACCAAGUUGAGUAGAGGAAUGUGUUGAAGGGAGCAAAAGUACUGAAUAUAUGAACGGAGCUUAUACCAGAUCGUGAAGAGCUAGACGUUCUUCAAGGAGAAGGACACCAUGAGGAGACGUAGUCGGUGGUAUUGGUGCUUCUUAUCUUAAAAAUCAAUAUUUGGUGUUAUUCCAAUGCCACCAAAGAGGAAGCCACCACCCCAACACCUCUGAAUGGUCUUAUCACGCAGGCGUUCACUCAAACUAGCACGCAACCUUCACCUACCGUCUAGUCUACACCAGUCACUUUGCCAAUGGAGACAUGUAGUUCUAUAAUUGUUAUUUAAUUCUUACUUCAACUUUUUUUUUAUUGACGUAUAUUGUUUUAACACUUGCAACACCCCCAAUUGAGCAUGAGCGACGUGGUCGUACUCGUGGCUUAGGCACACCCCAGAUAGUCAAGGCGACUCAUAGGAAGCUGGAAAUCAUGUAUGAAGAUAGCGAUGGACGACCAAUUGGUCCUAAUGCUCGUCAAUUCGUAUCUGAAAUAUGAUGUAGUGUGAGAAUAUUUGUGCCUUUCCAAAAGAUCUUUUGGAAAGAUGUGACUGAAUUUGAAAAAUCUCCUAUUUAUGACAAAGUGGAGGCUAUUUUUGAUGUACAAUAUGAUAAAUAUGCAACUCUUAAAGAGUUCAUGGAGAAAUCAAUGGCCACUUCCUUUAAGGAGUUUCGAUAUGAGCUGCACAUACAUUACAAGAAGUUUCUAGACCAACCAAUGGCUCAUGGGAAAGCUAAUAAGCCUAAAGAAAUCCGAUAUCAGGUUGACUAGGAUUAUUUGUGUGACUAUUGGGAAAAAAAGAUCCAAGGUGGCAGUUGACAACAGAUCCUGACAAUAAUUUACCCAUUUUUCUGGUUCUAGAUAAUAUAUUCAAUGUCAGGCUAUGGAGGAUAAGGGAACUGGACGACUAGACAGAAUUAAACUAUGGAAGAACACACAUUACAAGGAUACAAAAGGCUGGAUACAUCCUGUGGCUGAGGAGAAAUAUAAAGAGAUGGUAGACAUACAAACAACACAACAGGCACAUGUUGUGGGAGAGGAGAGUGAGAGCCAAGGAGUAUAGCUCGCUGCUAAUGACAUUGCGACUUAGGUGCUUGGAACUACUUCUUGCUACUAUAGGGGUUUGGGUAAGGGUUCAAAGAUUCCACGUGCUACAUCUCGUGCAGACACGACUCAAAGAGAGAAUGCCAAGCUUUGUCAAGUCGUGCAUAAUUUGCAAAGCCAAAAUGAGCGUAUUCUCGCCUUGUUAAAAGAGAUUAUACCAGGUGCCACAACUAGAAUAGACAGCCCUAGAGUUCCUACUACUCCUCAUUCGUCAUCGUCACCAUCAUCACCUGAUCACGAGUCACUUGAUGAUCAUUAGUUUAAAGCUCUUUUAUUCCAUUUACAUGGUUUUAUAUUUUGAUGGUUAAUACUCCAUUAUUACAUAUGCUAUUAUUUUGGAUUAUGCUAGUCUUCUUUUAUUUUGGAAUUUGACUAGACUUUUUAUUUUGAAAUCUGGGCUGUACAUGUUUACGUAGUUACUUAUUCUGAAAUUGGAAUUGAUUGGUAAAGA